CGUGAAGCUGGAUUCGCUAGUAAUCGCGCAUCAGCCAUGGCGCGGUGAAUACGUUCCCGGGCCUUGUACACACCGCCCGUCAAGCCAUGGGAGCCGGGGGCGCCUGAAGUGCGGUACCGCGAGGGCUGCCCAAGGGCGAGACCGGUGACUGGGCUAAGUCGUAACAAGGUAAC
This 173-nucleotide ribosomal RNA is filed under the name uncultured bacterium. RNAcentral's name for it is "partial 16S ribosomal RNA". It matches the Rfam family "Bacterial small subunit ribosomal RNA", at positions 1319 to 1500 of the family's 1533-position model. The record is from RNAcentral.